AUUGACCCUCAUGUUGAACCAUGCAGGUUACGUCGUUGUGAUGUUAACAGAUUUGGUGAAACUAAUUAUCCUCUUCCUCCAUCUUGUCUGAUAUCAGUGUAUGGAUCACCUGAUGCUGUCCCUACACUACAUUACUCCAUACCACUGGAAGGUGUGGCUGAUCCUGUUUCAUUAUUCAUCCGUAGAUCACUACAGAGAAAUCCUCCUCCUUCAACAGAUCCUACUACCUCCUCCUCCUCCUCUAAUGUAGUACAUGA
Molecule: long non-coding RNA, 257 nt
Organism: Amphimedon queenslandica
Lineage: Eukaryota; Metazoa; Porifera; Demospongiae; Haplosclerida; Niphatidae
Exons: 3
Source: RefSeq, a predicted model, not a curated record